This 253-nucleotide ribosomal RNA is filed under the name uncultured bacterium. RNAcentral's name for it is "partial 16S ribosomal RNA". It matches the Rfam family "Bacterial small subunit ribosomal RNA", at positions 524 to 776 of the family's 1533-position model. The record is from RNAcentral.
UACGUAGGGACCGAGCGUUGUCCGGAAUCAUUGGGCGUAAAGAGCGUGUAGGCGGCCACUUAAGUCCUGCGUGAAAUCUUGCGGCUCAACCGCAAGCGGUCGUGGGAAACUGGGUGGCUAGAGUGCGGGAGAGGAGAGUGGAAUUCCUGGUGUAGCGGUGAAAUGCGUAGAUAUCAGGAGGAACACCUGUGGUGUAGACAGCUUACUGGACCAUCACUGACGCUGAGACACGAAAGCGUGGGUAGCAAACAGG